CCUAGCCUUUUAAUUGGAGGCCUGCAUGAAUGGCUUGACGAGCGCCCUGCUGUCUCUCUUCCCAUGAACUUUUAAAUUAACUUUCGCGUGCAAAGGCGCGAAUGGCUGAGUUAGACGAAAAGACCCUAUGCAUCUUUACUGAGAGAGAAGAAAGUUCUUUAGGUUGGUUUAGCUGGGGCAGCUGAGGAAAAGGCAAAAUUUCCUUAAUAUAAAUCAUACUGGUGGGUUUAGAUCCAGGCUCUUUAGCGGGCUUGACAAGUAGAAAAGUUACGCUAGGGAUAACAGCGUUAUCCUUCUGUGGAGGUCUUAUCUGCAGGAGGGAUUGCGACCUCGAUGUUGAAUUAGGGAUAUACCAGAAAGGCGCAGAAGCUUUUAUUGUGG
Molecule: ribosomal RNA, 381 nt
Filed under: Pinna nobilis
Lineage: Eukaryota; Metazoa; Mollusca; Bivalvia; Pterioida; Pinnidae
Description: partial 16S ribosomal RNA
Rfam family: Bacterial large subunit ribosomal RNA
Source: RNAcentral